GUCAGCAGGGAGUAAGGACCAGCAUUCCUAAUAGGGGUGUUGUUGAUAGUACCUGCAGAGGAAGUCACGGCUAACUCUGUGCCAGCAGCCGCGGUAAUACGGAGGUGGCGAACGUUGUUCGGAUUUACUGGGCGUAAAGGGUCCGCAGGCGGUCCGGUGUGUCGGAUGUGAAAGCUCACAGCUUAACUGUGGAAUUGCAUUCGAAACUGCCGGACUAGAGUACUGGAGGGGAGAAGGGAACACUUGGUGUAGCGGUGAAAUGCGUAGAUAUCAAGUGGAACACCGGAGGCGAAGGCGCUUCUCUGGACAGAUACUGACGCUCAUGGACGAAAGCUAGGGUAGCGAAAGGGAUUAGAUACCCCUGUAGUCCUAGCCGUAAACGGUGUGCACUAGACGUGGGUGGAUUUACCCCCAUCCGUGUCUGAGCUAACGCAUUAAGUGCACCGCCUGGGGAGUACGGUCGCAAGAUUAAAACUCAAAGGAAUUGACGGGGACCCGCACAAGCGGUGGAGCAUGUGGCUUAAUUCGAUGCAACGCGAAGAACCUUACCUGGACUUGACAUAUAGCUGCAUAUGACUCGAAAGAGACAUAGCCUUCGAGGGUGCUAUACAGGUGCUGCAUGGCUGUCGUCAGCUCGUGCCGUGAGGUGUUGGGUUAAGUCCCGCAACGAGCGCAACCCUUGUGUUUAGUUGCCAGCACGUAAUGGUGGGAACUUUAAACAGACUGCUGGUGAAAACCAGAGGAAGGUGGGGAUGACGUCAAGUCAGUAUGGUCCUUAUGUCCAGGGCUGCACACGUGCUACAAUGGUCGAUACAAUAGGAAGCCAAGCCGCGAGGUGGAGCAAAUCCUCAAAAUCGGCCCCAGUUCGGAUUGGAGUCUGAAACUCGACUCCAUGAAGCUGGAAUCGCUAGUAAAGGCGUAUCAGCUACGACGCCUUGAAUACGUUCCCGGGUCUUGUACACACCGCCCGUCACAUCAUGGAAGUUUGUUGCACCCGAAGUCGCUGAUCCAACCUCUCACGAGGAGGA
RNAcentral lists this ribosomal RNA (1028 nucleotides) under uncultured Lentisphaerota bacterium. RNAcentral describes it as "bacterial SSU rRNA". It matches the Rfam family "Bacterial small subunit ribosomal RNA", at positions 434 to 1450 of the family's 1533-position model. The record is from RNAcentral. Lineage: Bacteria; Pseudomonadati; Lentisphaerota.